Molecule: long non-coding RNA, 286 nt
Filed under: Solanum tuberosum (potato)
Lineage: Eukaryota; Viridiplantae; Streptophyta; Magnoliopsida; Solanales; Solanaceae
Description: long non-coding RNA (STUB_LNC002303)
Source: RNAcentral
ACUCAUCCAGUAAGUACUUAUUCAAGAGCUGAACUAUUACUGAUUUAAUGUUGAAUGGCUCUUUACCACAAAUCUGCUUGCUCUUGAAUCUAUUAGAUCCCCAAGAAACGGAUGAACAUUUGGAAACAACAUAAAUGUGGAGAGAAUUUAGAGCAUCCAGAUUAGGUUAUAUACUACUUCUUUUUGGUAGAUUAAGGUAGAAUCUCCGCUGCUAUCUACACCAUACUUGGCUAUGUCAAAAUUGCCAUUCCAAUCGUUAGCACUGUCUAGAGAGCCUCUCCCCCAC